UGGGAGAAAAAAGGCAGAGUCAGUGAGAAGCCAUGUAGCCGCCACCAGGACAGACCCCUGCACUGGAGCCCGCUGAUACUUUGCAGAAAAGAAAAGGAACACACAUCGAGAAUAACAAAUGGAACAUUCGAUAAGACUUUCAGACAGGCACUCGACACGCUGCAAUUAAUCAGAACACGGUUCCCGUCAUCAUGGAUCUAUACACAAAGCAUGCCCAUUUAACAAAUGCUUACUAUGCUAAUCAUAAAUCCAUCCUUCUUCAAUAUCCGGCCUCCAUUUCCACCAGAGCAACACUGAAAACCGAUCUUCUUGUAUUACUGGAUCCCACCCACCCUGAUAUGAACGAAACCAGGCACAGGGCAAAUGCGGCCAAAGUCUUAGGAUAUAAAGGAAAUGAUCAGUAAAAGAUAUUGAAGAUUCAUUGAAACUAAAUUGUAGUUUGCCAUCAUGAGAAGAUAAAGCACCACUUUGGACCUAUGGCUGCCCACACUCACUCGCCCCAUCUAAAGCCAGACAGAGCCUGCUCACAGGAUUCUUCCUACUAACAUGCUUUAGAAACUAAGAGUGGGCUUUAUGUAAAGACCACAGAAAGCAGUAAGACUUCGAUGCCUUUUCUGAUCUCACAAACGUUUGGCCCCUCAACAGCAUACAAGGGAGGAUGCUGAGUUUCCAGCAGGUUGCACGAUUGCACUCUGAGGGUGAGGUCCUAAGGAGGAGGUGACCAUCUGCCAUAUAGUCUGAAUGUCCCCACCAGGACGUCACAUUGACAUUUAAUGCUCAGUCUGAAGGAUUAGGAGGUAGGGCCGCUAAGAGGAGACUGAGCCACAAGGACCCUGUCCUCCUGGGUGGAUAAAUCCACAGGCAGAUGGCUUACUGAGAGCUGCUUACUCCAGUCACCAUACCUCGGGGCACUGCAGAGUCCCUAUCAGCAAGGGGGUUCUCACCAUGUGUGCCCAACCCACCCCCAACUCCGGCUACCUCAACCUUCAGAACCAUUUUUUUUAAACAUUAUUUUUAAAAUAAUUUAUUUUUACUUUAUGAGCAUUGGUGUUUUGCCUACAUGUA
Myodes glareolus (Bank vole) is the source of this 1065-nucleotide long non-coding RNA. RefSeq lists it as uncharacterized. The record is from RefSeq and is a predicted model, not a curated record. Lineage: Eukaryota; Metazoa; Chordata; Mammalia; Rodentia; Cricetidae.